GAUUUGCGUGAAGGUUAGCAGCGAAAAUCCUUUUUUAGGGCUUUUUUUGCCCAAAAAAGAUUGCAGCGAAUAGCCUGGUCGCCG
RNAcentral lists this small RNA (84 nucleotides) under Flavobacterium sp. FPG59. RNAcentral's name for it is "Flavo-1 RNA". It matches the Rfam family "Flavo-1 RNA". The record is from Rfam by way of RNAcentral. Lineage: Bacteria; Pseudomonadati; Bacteroidota; Flavobacteriia; Flavobacteriales; Flavobacteriaceae.